This 446-nucleotide ribosomal RNA is filed under the name uncultured bacterium. Its description in RNAcentral is "bacterial SSU rRNA". It matches the Rfam family "Bacterial small subunit ribosomal RNA", at positions 330 to 793 of the family's 1533-position model. The record is from RNAcentral.
GCCAGACUCCUACGGGAGGCAGCAGUGGGGAAUAUUGCACAAUGGGGGAAACCCUGAUGCAGCGACGCCGCGUGAGUGAAGAAGUAUUUCGGUAUGUAAAGCUCUAUCAGCAGGGAAGAAAAUGACGGUACCUGAUUAAGAAGCCCCGGCUAACUACGUGCCAGCAGCCGCGGUAAUACGUAGGGGGCAAGCGUUAUCCGGAUUUACUGGGUGUAAAGGGAGCGUAGACGGUGAUGCAAGUCAGAAGUGAAAGCCCGGGGCUCAACUCCGGGACUGCUUUUGAAACUGUGUAACUGGAGUGCAGGAGAGGUAAGCGGAAUUCCUGGUGUAGCGGUGAAAUGCGUAGAUAUCAGGAGGAACACCAGUGGCGAAGGCGGCUUACUGGACUGUAACUGACGUUGAGGCUCGAAAGCGUGGGGAGCAAACAGGAUUAGAUACCCCGGUAC